RNAcentral lists this ribosomal RNA (254 nucleotides) under uncultured bacterium. RNAcentral's name for it is "partial 16S ribosomal RNA". It matches the Rfam family "Bacterial small subunit ribosomal RNA", at positions 524 to 776 of the family's 1533-position model. The record is from RNAcentral.
UACGUAGGCAGCGAGCGUUGUUCGGAGUUACUGGGCGUAAAGGGUGUGUAGGCGGUUGUUUAAGUUUGGUGUGAAAUCUCCCGGCUCAACCGGGAGGGUGCGCCGAAUACUGAAUGACUUGGAGUGCGGGAGAGGAGAGUGGAAUUCCUGGUGUAGCGGUGAAAUGCGCAGAUAUCGGGAGGAACACCUAUGGCGAAGGCAGCUCGCUGGGACGUUACUGACGCUGAGACGCGAAAGCGUGGGGAGCAAACAGG